AAUGCUAUGAUCCUUUAGGCAAGCACAAAGUUGGCAUGCUGCCUAGUUGGGCGGUGUAGGCGCUUGUGCCCUUCACCUUGCAUGGGAAUAAGGGGAGGGGGGAUGCCCCUCGGCCCCUCCCAUUCUCAAAAAGUGUGAUAAUGAGAAAUCGAAAAAUGUUAGAGUAGAAUAUAGUGUUGUGUUGACUGUAUCGACUAACCAAGAGGAAGUAUGGUCGCCAUCCAGAGGUGGGGGAGAAGUCGAUGUUGGAAAGGAGCCAAGUGUUGUAACCAGUCGCCGUGUGCAGCAUGUGCUAAAAGGAGUUGUUGCAGUCCAGAAGACGUGAUUGGUGUGUGAUAAUCCAGAGGGACAUUAACGCUCGACUGAAUGUUGGAAAUGAGAGGCAGUAAAGGUGUUUGAGGAUGGAGUGGUGGUGGGUAGUGCCGUAACCAGGUUGGAGAAAGGGUGGACUACUACAUGUAUGGGGCUGUGCAAUGGACUGUGUUGAGGAGAAGAAGCAGCAGCAGCAGGGGCGGCGGCGGUAGCAGCAGUGGCGGCAGUUGUUUAAGAUAAGUAGUGUGGUGUGGUGCAUCGUGAAUUGUUUGUGAUAG
This 590-nucleotide long non-coding RNA is filed under the name Homarus americanus (American lobster). RNAcentral's name for it is "uncharacterized LOC121867374, transcript variant X2". Lineage: Eukaryota; Metazoa; Arthropoda; Malacostraca; Decapoda; Nephropidae. The record is from RNAcentral.